GUAACAUUUAAAUUCAUAGUGUAUACUACAACUGGGUUAGUUCCUUCUAGUUUCCAUUAAAGCAAUCAAUCUAGAAUUAAAAACUGGUUUUGGAUAAAUGUAAUGAAGAAAUAAACGUCAAGAACUUACAAAAUAAAACUUUCAUAAGACAGAUAAGAGAAAAUGGAGCAAGAGGUGAGGUCACCUGUCACUUCGGUUCUAUGGAAAGAGAACUCAUUACCUGCUCUCCCCAAACAUUAGGUAGCCUCCCAGAACAACACACACACACCCCUAUCUGCUACUGUCAAUUCAGUAGGGCGACCUACUAAGGUCUCUAAAAUGGGUUACAGUAUCAGACGAUAUACAACGCCACAAAGCAUCACAUAAAUGGGUAACUGUACAAAAAACAGUGCAUGUCAAAGUAAUAACUAGAUGAAUUUUUUCUUUCGGAAUGCAAGCCGUCUAAGCUGAUCUCCAAGAGCCUUUGCAAGUAAACCGCGGCACAAAAGUCCUUAAGCCUAAGCCUCACUUGCUGAAGCCCUCCACCGCGGGCGUUCCUACCAGGCGGUGACCAACUUUUGUGCUUCCCACAAUAGCGCUAAAGCGAUGCGGUGCAUCCCGCUGGUGAAACUCGGCAUGUGGCACUUAAAACGCCAAACCAGAAUCGCCCACAGCGCUGGCUGCAGGGCUCUCCCGGUUCCGCCGCGAUAACGCCGGGAGAUUAUCUGCAUUCAGCGCGAGGGCUUCAGGUCCAGGAAGAGAAGCGAAGCGAUAGCACGCGCACCCGGACCACGCUCAAGGCAAGGAAGCCCCAGCGCCCGGUGGGCCCAGGAAGCUGCCUAACCAGGGCAAAGCUCCGUGCCCUUUUCUAUGAAAGGGAGCGUGUGGCCGGCGGAACCAAAAGUAAACACGGAAAAUUCACUAGGAAUUUCCUGAUGGCCUACCGCGCACACGCAGGACACGAGUUAAGACGCUGGGAAGCCCAGAGAGUGCCUGCUAAAGCUCAAGGCCAGUACCGAGGACCAGGAAUGCAAGGACGUGCAAGGUGUGCACGAGGGCUGUGCUCACAGAGCCCAGGCUCCUCUGGAGAGGAGGGCACUUGUCCAGGAAGGGGAUGAUGAACAUGUGUGGACGAGAACUCUACAUACAUGCAAACAUGAAAAGAAUUCAUAAAAAAAGAAGAACCAGGAUAUAUCAUGUAUAGGUACCAAUUCCCUAUGAGGAAUGUGAUCAUUAUGUAUAUCUAAAUUGUACCAGUAAACUUAAAGAAAAAGGAAAUAAUUCACUUGCUUUUAAUUUUUUUUUUUUUUUUUUUUUUUUUUGGUCUUUUUGAGACAGGGUCUCAUUAUGCAGUUCAGGAUGGCCUUAAACUCACUUAUGGUCUGGGUGUGGUGGUGCAUGCCUGUGAUCCCAGCACUCGGGAGGCUGAG
RNAcentral lists this long non-coding RNA (1409 nucleotides) under Chinchilla lanigera (long-tailed chinchilla). RNAcentral's name for it is "lncRNA (ENSCLAG00000029024.1)". Lineage: Eukaryota; Metazoa; Chordata; Mammalia; Rodentia; Chinchillidae. The record is from RNAcentral.